AAGCUUUCCACAUCCCUUUCUUGUCUGAUGGGGAUUGCUCCUCCCUCUUCCCUGCUGGCAUGCUCCUUUACCUUUCCCGGGGCUGAAAACAGUGUGUGGGCAGUAAGGAAAGAAGUUUGGUUUUCCAAGAGAGAAAAUACCUAGAGGAUUAUUCAAAUAUGUUAUCCCCACUACAAAGAAGAAGAUGAAAGGAGAGGACGGUUGAAAGUGAAAUGUGCUGGGGAUAAGGACUUGAGGCACAGAGAUGUAAAGUGACUUCCCUAAGGAAUCACAGCCUGUAAGACUAGGAGCUGGAAUUCAAACCCAGGUUCAGAUAUGAGGACCACUCUGGACUUCAGAGAUUUAAACAUCCAGCCUUUGGGGGAAUAAAAGAACAGUGUAGACUUCUUGUACUUGAAUGAAGAAUAACAUUUUGA
Molecule: long non-coding RNA, 416 nt
Organism: Manis pentadactyla (Chinese pangolin)
Lineage: Eukaryota; Metazoa; Chordata; Mammalia; Pholidota; Manidae
Exons: 3
Source: RefSeq, a predicted model, not a curated record